AGCCACAGCAGUGGUGCAUGUAACAGGCUCCUUAAACUCUCUGUGCUGAGAUCAACCAGUCACAGAGCAAAUUCAAGAGAAAAGAAACAUUUGCUGUUUCUCUACUCAUCUGCUGAUAUAAAGGCUGCAGAAUCUGGCUUUAACAUUGCAGCAAAGCCAAGGAGAGACUCACCUCUACAAAAUCAGAAGGUCCAGCUGAUUUCACCAGGCUCCAUAUGGGCAGCCACUGAGCCACAUACCUUCAGUCCUGGAAGGAUUCUCUCCCAGACAUGCAGAAAAAGGUGGAAAUCUGAAGUGAGAGCUGCUCAGCCAUAGGCAAGCUCUGGAACGAGUGCAAAUCUUCAUAUCACCACAACCUUACUCCUGGGCUGGCAGGGGAGAAAUAUUUUCAAUUCUUGCUUGUUAUUCCUAUUUGUUUCAGAAAUUUUGCACUAACGUAUUUACCUGUCUGCUCAUUUCAAAGGUCCCUGCUAUAUGAGAAAAUGAUCAAAUAAUGGUCCUAGAAGAUACAUGGUGCCCCUUUACUUUAGUUUAACUGCGUUUUAAAAUUAGAUAUCUUGGCAUAGCUUGGCCUUUGUUUCCAGCGUGUCUAUCUAAUGCAUUAAUAACUGCCUAUGGUGAAGCAGCAGCCUCACUAAUGAUGGAACACAUGUAAUAUCAAUUUAACACCAAUAUAAAUUUUUAUAUAUUUCAACAAUUUUUAGGGCUGCUUGUUGCUAUAUAAUCUAUUGGAGCUUACUGUUACAGCAAAUCAUCUGAAUUUGUCUUGUACUGGGGGUGAUAGGUAUCAACCAGAUGCUCAUUCCCACACCAGACAGUUACUGAAGAAUCUGCACAAAAGUUACAACUUCUCAAAGAGCCAACUUUACUAUUAAAACUAUGGCAAAGUUUCACUGACCGGACUCACUAUGGGGUGUGAGACCCUGCAAAAGCCACUGUGAUGAUAAAAUAUAAAUAUAUAUGUAUACACAUAUAUAAAGCUUUCAAAAAUCCCAACUAAUAUUGUUUAAUGUGGCUAUCCCAAUUCUCUCACACAAAUGCUAUCAUUCCAUUUCUCAUUAUUUAUAUUCAGUGUGGUUCUUAAGAGAGCAGUGAGCAACAUGCCAUUUUGGAACUGCUGUUACCAAGGGCAUACACAGUUUAAUUAUUAAAACAAAGCUGUUACGUAGCAUGCUCUAAGUGCCACUGCUGCCACUUAGAAACUGAUGUGAUUUGCAUUUCUUUUAAUAAAUUAGGUAUUUAAUUACA
Molecule: long non-coding RNA, 1248 nt
Filed under: Anser cygnoides (Swan goose)
Lineage: Eukaryota; Metazoa; Chordata; Aves; Anseriformes; Anatidae
Description: lncRNA (ENSACDG00005003348.1)
Source: RNAcentral